AACAGACAAUCAAUUUCUAAAAUGUUGUUAUCCCUGGAAGGGAAUGAGAUAGAGUUUUUAACUAUAAGAACCUACUAGUCUGUUUUUUGCCUUUGAAAAAACUAACCUUUGAGGUCUGUGACUUUCAUCUGAAGCAAUUGUUCCAUUAAUCAAAAAUGCCUCACAAGUCAAUGAGCCAGGCCAGCACCCUCCUACGUCUGAGGGUGCUGGGCUGGGUUUGUGCAUCUUAUUUCCUUAGAGAAUAUCUGUUUUUAUUAUGACCUUAAUUAUAAAUACCUAUAUAUAGUAAUAGGAUUUUCUCUCACCCCACCCUCUUUUAAUCAUUAUCACGUGAGUGUAAACCACACCUCCCCCCCACCCCACUUUACUGAAAAAAUGCACUUUAAUUCCUAAGGAGAGUGGCUGUUCUGGCCCUGAAGCCAGAUUACUUCAGGAGGAGAAUUGAGGAGGGAGAACUCUUGGCAGACCCUGUGAAAUUUAACCAAAUCCCUUAAUGUAAAUACACAAAUCAACCAUUUUUAAGCUGCCCUUACCCCCUGCCAAGGGGAAAAAGAAAUAACCAAAUUAAAAAGUUAAAAAUGCCCACCCUGAUUUUAGAAGUUUCACUGGAGAAAAUACCCAAUCUUAUUUUUUCAGCUACCAGCUUAUAAAAAACUUCUUGGUGGUUUUGUGAGAGUCUGAGAUUUUUUUAAAAUUAAAAAGUGAAGUGAAUACCCACAGGCUAUAGAAUAUGAUCCUGAUUUGUUUCAUUUCUAAGUAUCAGAUUGGUUCUCUCCUUCAAUCUGACAGGUGUUCUCAGUCUCUCCUCCUGUAGAUUCUGUCCUUCCCCUGAUGACAAGCCAAUAGUUCUUGGUGGGGUUGCAUGUCUCCUAGAGCCCAAGGAGCCCUGUUGUGUCCGGGAAGGGGGGAGGGCAGGAGGGUGGGCAGACUAGGGUUGGGGGAGGGAGAUUUAGAGAAAGAGUGAAGAUAAGGGUUUAUAUAAACAAACAUAUUUAAAGCAGUUUAGCAAAAAGCUUUCUCGUUGAACAGCUUUAAGAACAAUGUGAAUGAAAUCUUAGCAACUUGGUUAGUAAUCUGAAAAGUCUAUUAAUGUAUACUUGAAAUUUGUUUGUACAAAAAUACCUUUUCCUCUUUAUUUUAACACUGUGUAAAAGAACAUUAUGCAUGUGAGUGGUUUGAGAAUUAAAUGGUUUAAUAUUAARAAAAAAMAAAAAAAAA
This 1218-nucleotide small RNA is filed under the name Sus scrofa (pig). Its description in RNAcentral is "sTF36235". Lineage: Eukaryota; Metazoa; Chordata; Mammalia; Artiodactyla; Suidae. The record is from RNAcentral.